This is a long non-coding RNA of Felis catus (domestic cat), 808 nucleotides long. RefSeq lists it as uncharacterized. NCBI's taxonomy places the organism in Eukaryota, Metazoa, Chordata, Mammalia, Carnivora, Felidae. The record is from RefSeq and is a predicted model, not a curated record. The transcript has 2 exons.
ACAAGUCAGUCAGGAAGCCCCACUAAAGGCAGAGGGAAACACCCACCAUGACACCUAAGGAACCUGCCCUGCAGGCCCCACCCCCUCUCUUAACCUCUGUUAAGCUCGGCCUACUGUGUUCCUAAUGAUGGGGUGUGGAGGCAGCAUACGAGGGCAGGGGCCUCCGGAGCCCAUGGGUUGCAUGAGGGCCUGGUUUCCAUUCGGGAAGGCUGCAGGAAGGUCACCCCCAGGCCAGGGCAGGGACUGUGGGAAGCUCAGACACCCCCGAGGCCUGAGCCCCGACAGGCUGGGGUGCUGAGAGCAGACGGCAGAAUGUGCUCUAUGUGUCUUUCCGCUGUCACUUCAGGGCACCUGGGGGACCCUCUGUGGGCUGUGUCUGAAAUGGCCCAGGUACAGGGUCUUGUGUCCCACUGUAUCCACUGUAGGCUUCUCGAGGAGUCGCUUGUCUUGAAGUUGAAGUGUGGCCGAGAAGAGAGGCCACUGGACACUGUCCUCUGGGAAAUGAGGCACCUGAAUUGUUGCUGACACCAGUUCCAGGACCGUGAAGGGUGGGGGAGAGGAUGGCAAGGAGCACUUGUCACCUCAUCUGGACCCUGGAAGGAGCAGUCAGAGAUGACCCACCUCACACCCUGACACUCUCAGGAUCUGUUUGUAAUAGAGAUCCUUCCACAGAGCCUGGGGCCAGACAGGUGCUCCAGAACUCAGAAUUCCUUAGAUUUUCGGGAUAAACAGCACAUGUCCUGUGUCAAGGAACACCUAGCAUUGGAUCUGGGGCAACACCUAUGAUUAAAUGUUGCUAUGGGCUGAA